AUGACUCAUGGUCCCAUAAGAGAAAGAUAUCCAUGGCGAAUAAAUUCUUAUCCACGAAUAAGUUCUCCAUUAUGGGUGUGCUUUGUUGGAGAACGAAGUGGAACGGAAUGCCAUGGUUCCAUUUCAUGGAGUAGUUUGGUUCGGUUCCUGUGUUUGGUUGUGGGCAUUAUGUGGAAUGGAAUGGUUACAUUUCAGUGUUUGGUUCAGCUCACCUGUGUAGAAAAGGGUAAGAUUACCUCUCAAUGCACCAACCAGCAUACACACCAAGCAAAAUUGCAAAAGACUGGCUUUUUGUUGGAAAACUCACAUACUGAUGCCUUGUUUUACGUGCGUAUAAUUUAUUACUAUAUAAACCACACCAUGGACAGUGUGGAGUAG
RNAcentral lists this ribosomal RNA (378 nucleotides) under Triticum aestivum (bread wheat). Its description in RNAcentral is "partial small subunit ribosomal RNA". The record is from RNAcentral. Lineage: Eukaryota; Viridiplantae; Streptophyta; Magnoliopsida; Poales; Poaceae.